GAACGCUAGCGGCAGGCUUAACGACAUGCAAGUCGAGGGGCGAGCGGGAUGUAGCAAUACAUUGCCGGCGACCGGCGGAUGGGUGCGUAACGCGUAUGCAACUACCUUAUACAGGGGAAUAACCUUCGAAAGGGAGACUAACACCCCAUGGUAUUGAUUUAAGGCAUCUUAGAUUAAUUAAAUAUUUAUAGGUAUAAGAUGGGCAUGCGUAUGAUUAGCUAGUUGGUAAGGUAACGGCUUACCAAGGCGACGAUCAUUAGGGGUUCUGAGAGGAAGGUCCCCCACACUGGUACUGAGACACGGACCAGACUCCUACGGGAGGCAGCAGUGAGGAAUAUUGGUCAAUGGGCGCAAGCCUGAACCAGCCAUGCCGCGUGCAGGAAAAGACGGCCUUAUGGGUUGUAAACUGCUUUUACAUAAGACUAACCGUAUAUUUGCGAAUAUACCUGAAUGUAUUAUGAGAAUAAGGAUCGGCUAACUCCGUGCCAGCCGCUGC
RNAcentral lists this ribosomal RNA (496 nucleotides) under uncultured bacterium. RNAcentral's name for it is "bacterial SSU rRNA". It matches the Rfam family "Bacterial small subunit ribosomal RNA", at positions 31 to 518 of the family's 1533-position model. The record is from RNAcentral.